Molecule: transfer RNA, 84 nt
Filed under: Candidatus Moraniibacteriota bacterium
Lineage: Bacteria; Candidatus Moraniibacteriota
Description: tRNA-Leu
Rfam family: tRNA
About the family: Transfer RNA (tRNA) molecules are approximately 80 nucleotides in length.
Source: RNAcentral
GCCGAGGUGGCGGAAUUGGUAGACGCACUAGCUUCAGGUGCUAGCGCUCGCAAGGGCAUGGGGGUUCGAGUCCCCCCUUCGGCA